GCAUGGUGUGUUCAGCGGUGCUGGAGAAGACUGUGGGAAUGGGAAACUCGAUGGAUUUGGGGGCAGGGAGAAUGUGAAGCUGCUGGAUUUUCUGGGAAAGUGUGCAUGAAAUCAGUGGGCUGUUAUAGGGAAAAGAAGGAAGAAUUUCUAAUUCAUAUAUUUGUUCUCUGAUAGGGAAAUAUAAUACUGGUGGAUUUGCUUUUGAGAGAGGGAAUAAAUAAAUAAAUAGAUAAAUAAAACUAUUUGAGAAGAAGGUUACUUGCAUGACUAGAAAAUGAUUGACGGAACUCCAUUUAAAAGGACUGGAUGCCUAAGCCUGAAUUAAUGAACUAUGAACUGCUGUAGCAACAAUGCAAAGAAUUUCUGAAGGAAAGGCAGAGGGAACCUUGGAAAACCAAGAAGAUGAUGGGCCCUGGGACCACCAGAGCCCUGAGUUGGAGGACCGUGACUGUAGUAAUGAUAAUCUCCCAGCCAGGUCUGAGACUGCGUGGAAUUUGCUGCCCCAGCUGGAUGCAUGAAAAGAGUACACAUUACUCAUGGACAACUCUGGAAACAGUUCUCCCUCAGGUCAGAGUCCUCUGGAAGAAACUGAAAGCAAGAACAGUUAUGGAAGAAUGUUGUUUUUUUGGAAUACCAAAACUAUUUUUUUUUUUUUCUGGGAAGAAAUGAAAGCAAAGGAACAAUUCAGAAUUUCCUAGGUACCAUGACUAUGAAGAAAAUGGAAUCUCAAACCCAUAACUCAAAACCAUUCUUUUGAAAAAUUUUGAUACUUCACCUUAACAUUUGUUAUUAGUUUUUAAUUGUAUAAAUAGUUUUGUAACAAAAAAUGAAACAUUCCUCUCCAAGAAGUGCAAAUA
Cygnus atratus (black swan) is the source of this 857-nucleotide long non-coding RNA. RefSeq lists it as uncharacterized. The transcript has 3 exons. The record is from RefSeq and is a predicted model, not a curated record. Lineage: Eukaryota; Metazoa; Chordata; Aves; Anseriformes; Anatidae.